GACGAACGCUGGCGGCGUGCCUAAUACAUGCAAGUAGAACGCAGUUGCGAACGGGUGAGUAACGCGUAUGUAACUGCCUGGUAGAGGGGGAUAAAUCUUGGAAACGCUAGCUAAUACCGCAUACUACCAGAUGGACCUGCGUUGUAGUAGCUAGUUGGUGGUGUAACGGCUUACCAAGGCGACGAUACAUAGCCGACCUGAGAGGGUGAUCGGCCACACUGGGAAUGAGACACGGCCCAGACUCCUUCGGGAGGCAGCAGUAGGGAAACUUCGGCAAUGGACGGAAGUCUGACCGAGCAACGCCGCGUGAGUGAAGAAGGUUUUCGGAUCGUAAAGCUCUGUUGUAAGAGAAGCGGUAUCUUACCAGAAAGGGACGGCUAACUACGUGCCAGCAGCCGCGGUAAUUC
RNAcentral lists this ribosomal RNA (407 nucleotides) under uncultured bacterium. RNAcentral's name for it is "partial 16S ribosomal RNA". It matches the Rfam family "Bacterial small subunit ribosomal RNA", at positions 28 to 526 of the family's 1533-position model. The record is from RNAcentral.